Molecule: ribosomal RNA, 247 nt
Filed under: uncultured bacterium
Lineage: Bacteria
Description: partial 16S ribosomal RNA
Rfam family: Bacterial small subunit ribosomal RNA
Source: RNAcentral
GCCGCGAGGUAGAGCAAAUCUCAAAAAGACAUCUCAGUUCAGAUUGCAGGCUGCAACUCGCCUGCAUGAAGUCGGAAUUGCUAGUAAUCGUAGGUCAGCAUACUACGGUGAAUACGUUCCCGGGCCUUGUACACACCCGCCCGUCAAACCAUGAGAGUUGGCAACACCCGAAGUCGGUAGUCUAACCGCAAGGAGGACGCCGCCGAAGGUGGGGUUGAUGAUUAGGGUUAAGUCGUAACAAGGUAGC